This 82-nucleotide small nucleolar RNA is filed under the name Brassica oleracea var. oleracea. RNAcentral's name for it is "snoRNA Plant_U3". Lineage: Eukaryota; Viridiplantae; Streptophyta; Magnoliopsida; Brassicales; Brassicaceae. The record is from RNAcentral.
ACGACCUUACUUGAACAGGAUCUGUUCUAUAGGCUCGUACCUCUGUAAAAUGACGGGAUGAGUCAGCUCUACUGGUUAGAGU